UGAUAUGAACCACAACCAAGAAAUUUCCAUACCUCAAGGUCCAAUUACAAGGACGAGAGCCAAAAAGCUACAACAAACUUUGUCCACUUAUAUUCAAACUAUGGUCAGCUCAUCAAAGAAAAUUCUAGAAGA
Cucurbita maxima (winter squash) is the source of this 132-nucleotide long non-coding RNA. RefSeq lists it as uncharacterized. The transcript is spliced from 2 exons. The record is from RefSeq and is a predicted model, not a curated record. NCBI's taxonomy places the organism in Eukaryota, Viridiplantae, Streptophyta, Magnoliopsida, Cucurbitales, Cucurbitaceae.